This is a long non-coding RNA of Heterocephalus glaber (naked mole-rat), 2276 nucleotides long. NCBI's taxonomy places the organism in Eukaryota, Metazoa, Chordata, Mammalia, Rodentia, Bathyergidae. The record is from Ensembl.
CGGGAAUGUGUUUUGGACAUGUUGUUUCAAUAUGAGACAAUCAGCUGGGCCCUCUGCGGAAUGUCCCCGGAGACUGGAAACGACCUCCCAACAGGGUCAUUUGUUCAGCAGAAUUCUAAGUCGCAUUCUCCAACAUCUGCAUUCUAUUAAUACCUCCAGAAUAUUUCCAUCAGCUUUGGGAAAUCAGAAGAGAUGUUCAGCUCCAAAUCCUGGAGUCUUUUGAACACUGCUUUGUGACUCUUGCGUUCUGUGGGCGGAUCCUUGCUCCUGACCUCCUUCCCUUUAGUUUGCUGGGUGCAGGUGGAUGGUCACAUUUCUCAGUAAAACCUGAGGAAGAAGUUGAAGCCUCCUCGGUGUUCAAACCUUCUGGAGAUCUGAAAGGCACAGAGCCAGAGAGGACCAGGCCUUAGACAACUUGGUGGCAGUGGCUAUUAUCCGAACCUGUGUCAUGGCAGAUGCUGAAAGAGAGGAGCCAAAAAACAUCUAUUCAAUAGUUACCUUCAAAGAAUGGAAAAGUAAGCGUCUGCUACCAAUAACCACUAGAAACAUAAUUUUACCCAACAUGUACUUCAUUGCUUAUGACUCUAAUACACAGGGUCAGCUAGAUGAAUGAUAAGUCUUAGUAAAAAUUAUGGAGCAACUUUCUUGGAAAUUUAGAGAAAUGCCAGAGUGUGAUAAGGUCUCUGAUAGUGACAAAUGGCUUCCUGGUUGUAUGACUCAGAAAGAGCUCCUCUUUGCUGGCUGGAGCUGGCUGAGGAGGCAGGCUGAAAACCCUCACUGUGCAGGAGGGAGCAGCUACCUAACAGGGCUGAUGGUGUUUCCUGUGCUGUCUGUCUGUCCAGGGGAGAGUUCUGACAGUCCCACCUGGCUUCCUCUUCCAGGGCCUCCUGCUCCGCUUAACCCUUUAGCCAGGAGGGUCCCCUGCUUCCUGUCCGCGUUCCCACAGCUGCUGAGGGCCACAGCUCCCGCCUGUGCACAGAGGGUCCUUGCUGUGUGUACGAGAUGGUGGCUCCCUGCGCCAUGUGGCAGAUGUUCAGCAUCAGGAAUCAAAACAGCUUUCACACCACGCAGCACAUUCUUCUUCCAGUCCCGUUCAUUUCCUCUCGGUGAAACUGAGAAGUGGACAGAGGAGGCCAGAGACCGCAUGGAGCUUCCUGAGUCUUGACAUUCCAAGAAUACCCUCAACUGGUCCUCUCCUUUUUUCGAAAAACGUGACAAGCCUGUAAGACUAAGGGAAAGAGUAAAGCAGUUUCUGUUCAUUGUACGCUGGACAAAUUCCGAGUGGAUUCUGCAAUACUGAAUUAGCAUAGAGGACUUUCUGGAGGGAGAGAAGUGGACACUGUUCUUGACAGCUAUACUCAAUAUAUACUCACUACUUGGAAAAAACCAGGAAAGCAAAUGCACACUGGCAGCUUCUCACUAUGGACCAAUCAAAUGUUUCCCAUUUGAGUCUCGCAGUACUGUGAAAAGUUCCCUUUGGAUGUCUUCCUGCCAGAGGAUGGUUUGACUCCCUCCGCCAGUGCAGGCAAGAGGAGAGGAAGGAGCUACAGACAUUCAGUGGGCUCACAUCUUGGGCACUUGUUCUGAUCCAUGCUCCAGCCAUAAUGUGACUCCUUCACCAGAGGCCCAAACAAACAGGGCUGUCUGAUCUUGCACUUAAGCUUCUGGAGCCAUCAGCAAAAAUCAACCUCUCAUUACUUCAUAAGUGGCAUGCAUCAGGCCUCAUCUUCAUCCUGUGUGCAGAUUGCAUUCUGACCUUCUCCCCGUAGAUGAAGGAAGAUGUGCCUUGAAGACCAUGUAGAUGGCACCUUCUGGCAGCCUUGUCAGAAGAGGAGCUUCUGUGAUUUGACAGCCCUGGUGCCCAGAGACUUGCUCUCUGAGCUAAAUGGCUUAGUAACAUUCCAGGAAUGACUUCCUGUCCGCUUCAUGUAGGAACUUUCCCCUUUUGCAUUUGAGAGUAUUUGUCCAGAACCAGAAGCUUUACAAGCCCUUUGUAUUUCAGCAAUGCAAAUAGCUGAGAGAAAGACCACAGCUGAGCAGCAGCAAAUUAAGACUUCUGGACACAGUGGAAUGAAUAGCCAGGUUCUUUUUUUUUUUUUUUUUAUCAUUUCCCAAGUUGAGGAAUGAAUGAAAGAUAAAUAAAUAGUGCUGCAAAUAGUAAAAACCAAAUUAGAUUUGAGGUUUCUCCCUCUUCCAAUCAAAUAAUAAGUAAUCCAAACAGUUAUUAUUUGAGGGAGCAAGGAAGUGAUACUAUAAAAAUAAAUGGCUUUCUCUGC